This 490-nucleotide ribosomal RNA is filed under the name uncultured bacterium. RNAcentral's name for it is "partial 16S ribosomal RNA". It matches the Rfam family "Bacterial small subunit ribosomal RNA", at positions 29 to 505 of the family's 1533-position model. The record is from RNAcentral.
AGUGAACGCUGGCGGUAGGCCUAACACAUGCAAGUCGAACGGCAGCACAGUAAGAGCUUGCUCUUACGGGUGGCGAGUGGCGGACGGGUGAGGAAUACAUCGGAAUCUACUUUUUCGUGGGGGAUAACGUAGGGAAACUUACGCUAAUACCGCAUACGACCUACGGGUGAAAGCAGGGGAUCUUCGGACCUUGCGCGAUUGAAUGCGCCGAUGUCGGAUUAGCUAGUUGGCGGGGUAAAGGCCCACCAAGUCGACGAUCCGUAGCUGGUCUGAGAGGAUGAUCAGCCACAACGGAACUGAGAAACGGUCCAGACUCCUACGGGAGGCAGCAGUGGGGAAUAUUGGGCAAUGGGCGCAAGCCUGAUCCAGCCAUACCGCGUGGGUGAAGAAGGCCUUCGGGUUGUAAAGCCCUUUUGUUGGGAAAGAAAAGCAGCAGGUUAAUACCCCGCUGUUCUGACGGUACCCAAAGAAUAAGCACCGGCUAACUUCG